UGAAGCAAACAUUGAGAAGCUCAAGGAUAUCGAAAACUGUUGCCCAUGUUGGUUUAUCAUUGUUUUUCCUAUAAUGGUUUAACUUUCGGAGUGUGCUGGAAUUAAAAUUGUGUUCCCAAUUACAGUGACAUUGUCUGCUACUGUAAUGAAUGGAAUAUAAGUGUUCUUGAUGAUGUUGAGCUGGAUGGUCCGGAUACCAGAAGUUCAGAUGUUCUGCCGGAAGGUCUCAUACAUGAACUUCCUAGUGAAAACGAGUUUCAUGAGGCAACUCCUGACGCUCUAGAUGGUUCACUGUUCCAAUCACCCUCUGCUACUGCAAAAGCAUUCAUGAGUUUAUUUUUAUGUGUAUUGUGGUACUCUAUCUUUUGUAAAUCUUUAUUUUAGUGUGUAUUGUGUGUAUUGGCUUAAUUCUUGAUUGUUGGAAGAUCUGCAAGAAAAAAUUGUUCAAUGUUCUUAAUUUGUAUUGGACAGAUACUGCCUUGGUUCAGUAGGAACCGAGGCGAAAUAUAUAUAAAAAAGGAAAAAUUGUACUGCUU
Molecule: non-coding RNA, 536 nt
Organism: Vigna umbellata (rice bean)
Lineage: Eukaryota; Viridiplantae; Streptophyta; Magnoliopsida; Fabales; Fabaceae
Source: RefSeq, a predicted model, not a curated record